This 449-nucleotide long non-coding RNA is filed under the name Rattus norvegicus (Norway rat). RNAcentral's name for it is "long non-coding RNA NONRATT015491". Lineage: Eukaryota; Metazoa; Chordata; Mammalia; Rodentia; Muridae. The record is from RNAcentral.
UUAAAGGAAAAUAGGGUUUCAUAUAACACAGUAUCAAAAAGUAGACGGAAGGGACUAAAUGCACCAAUUGGUGGCAGGUAAGUCCACAGCCUAUUGUGACAUGUCCUUCCAGCAUCGAUCACGUUUCUUCUCAUGUUUUCUCAAGGUUGUUGUAUAGAUGUGGUGACUUUAACAAGAGUCUAACAGGUGGGCAGGCAGGCAGGCAGGCUUCAAUCAUUGGUUUCAGGAUCUGUCUGUGCCAUGUAGGCAUCCAAUUCAGCAUCCAGGUGUCCUUUAGUUUUCGACAUGUAUGCAUCCAAUUGGUUGUCCAGCUGCUCCUUGGUCAAUACAGGGCGAGUGAGGGCACCUCUCCCUCGGCCACGACCUCGGCCUCUGCCUCCAAAGCCCCCUCUUCCCCGACCUAUCAUACCCCGACCUGGCCAAACAAGACAAAGAGAGAGAAGAAAAAG